This 572-nucleotide long non-coding RNA is filed under the name Hordeum vulgare. Its description in RNAcentral is "long non-coding RNA (HVUL_LNC010742)". Lineage: Eukaryota; Viridiplantae; Streptophyta; Magnoliopsida; Poales; Poaceae. The record is from RNAcentral.
GAUGACCUAACUUCUUCCCUCACAGCCACCGCCUUCAAGAAAAUUUCCUCCAUCGAAGCGGGGCGCAUGCGCAUCCAGUAGCGACGACGGAAGUUCGAUCGAGAAGAUGGCAGAAAACCAUGCAGCGGUGAAGGAAGAAUCGACGGUCGAUCAAUCGAAGAAAGCCAAGAAGUCACUUAUCGAAACUGGUAUCAUGCUUUCAAUUGGUAUUAUUUUUAUGAUAAUCAGCUUCUUUGUACCGGGAUAUCCAAACAGCAACAGAUCAUGUGCUGGCAGAACGCGAUUUUUGCUUUUGGUGCGACUAUCUUGUUUGUCCGUAUGCAUUUGAUGGAGUUCCGUUGGCCCCAAAAGCCAUCACCAAUUUCUCAAAUCUGAACCAGUAUUAACGGAAGCCGCUUGUAUGUAAACCAAUUUUCGUUUUGACAGCAACUAGUGCUGCCCAAUAAUGUAAUCUGUGUUGUUGUCUCGUCAAUCUUAUUCUGAAAUGAAUGUUGUUCGCUUAAUGUUUUUAGAUUUGUACUUCAUCUCUCUUUUUUCCUUGGCGAUUAAGAGUCGAAUUCCCAACAACAGCG